GGUCGAUGAUGAGAAGUAAAAGGUCUGAUAUCCAGGUCUCCUCCCGGUCCUUCUGCCCCUCCCAGCAGCCCCUCUUAAUUUUCCCAGCAUGCUCUAGUUGUGCAUCGCUGGUUUGAGGUGGCGGCUGAUAUUAUGGACGUUCUUGCUGAAUAAGAGUCUUUUUAGAGAACAAGUGAGACGUCGACUGCAGCGUCCGACAGAAACACGACACACAGGAGGGCCGGACGGGAGGAGGACGUUACACUGGUGCAUGAUCUCAAGUUUUCAAGCUGAGACC
Megalobrama amblycephala (Wuchang bream) is the source of this 277-nucleotide non-coding RNA. RefSeq annotates it as small Cajal body-specific RNA 6. The transcript has a single exon. Lineage: Eukaryota; Metazoa; Chordata; Actinopteri; Cypriniformes; Xenocyprididae. The record is from RefSeq and is a predicted model, not a curated record.